RNAcentral lists this long non-coding RNA (2409 nucleotides) under Androctonus crassicauda. The record is from RNAcentral. Lineage: Eukaryota; Metazoa; Arthropoda; Arachnida; Scorpiones; Buthidae.
GCAGAGCUGCCGGAGGGCCACUACAGUCGGGGGAUCCAUGAAUUGGAAGACCGUUGGGGUGGGUGUGUUGAGGUUGAGGGAGGCUGCGCUGAGGAAUGGGGUCAUUUUUGCAGGUAGGAAUUGGUUUCUUCAUUUCUGUUCCACGAACUUAUUGAACAACCGGAUAUAAGUUUAAUGUUUGUGAAGUCUGUGUUUCAAUAAGAAUUCCAAACAAUCUGAGUGAAGCUUAAUUAAGCUAUUAGUGCAGAAACAUUGAUAAAUGAAAAGUGAAUACAAAACAGAAAUAUUAUAACUUAAUGUAGCCAUUCUUUAGUUAAAACUUUAUAAAUAACCAUGUUAUAUUUUGAACUUUAAAAUGCCCAUUAAUUUAAGAAUGAGUUCCAAAACUAAGAUAACAUUCAUUUGUGGUGAUAUUUUGACAUUUUUUUCACUACAUUUAGUUGUUUUUUUGAGUCAUAAUAUGGAACUUCAAUUUUCUGAAGAAUGUCAUCAAAACUGUACCAAAGUUUGUCCUCAAUUUUUGGCCACUUCCAUCCACUGGAACUCACUAACAUAACUGUUAUAUAAGCUUUUGUUUGUUUCGUUUAUAAUACUUUUCCUGGAUAGUAUUCCCCUUCAUUCUGAACGAUUACAAAAUCAUUUGAUUUCACAUACAAAUUAUUCUCAUGACAACUCUCAGCCGAUGUUGUUUCGCUAAACACUCAUCAGCCUCAUCUUCGGAUUUUAGCACUACUCUGAUUGAUGAAUCAGAUGAAGCAUCUGAAAGUUCCACAUUUCUUGUCUUUCGUUUAGUCUGAGCAUUCUUUAUUUUUUUUGUCAUCUUAUUCUCUUCUCGUUUCUUUCUUCUUGCUUCUUUCUCUUGUUCUAGGUGUUCCUUAACCUCUCUCUUUCUAGUAUGUACUUCUUCCACACAUUUGACGUCACAACUGAAGGAAUUUUCUCUUUGGUUCGUCUGUUUGAUGUACUAGAUUGUUCAGGCCAAAACAAUGCUUUUCUGAAUGGUGAAGGAAUUGUUUGCCCACUAACACUAUUCGUAUUUCUUAUUGGAGAUGUAGAGCCUAAGUAUGAUUUGUUCUUCUACACUCCUUUUGAUGUGCUUGGGCUUUGUGAUAAUAGAGAAUGAUUCUCCACAUUUAAUAACAAAAAUGAUGCAGAACUGUCUGUUCCCAUCUCUGAAUGUUCUUCCAUUACUGAUUUCCAAAGAUAAAAAAGUUUUGUAUCUUCAAUAGCACCUGUCCAUGUAUUGCCAGAUUUAGAAAAUAAUGAUACUUUUUCCAAACCAAUCUUUUGCUCUAAAAGCAACAACAAAUCAUUCCUGUAAGAGCUUUGAUUUUGCUGAUUAUAUAUUUGUUGUUCUGCUGUUUCUGUUUAUAUAAGCUUAAGUACUUUUUUGUAAUCUACAGCAUCAGCAUUGAAAGGACAUAACCCACAUACUCUAAAUCCAUUCUUGACUAUUGCAUGUGUCACGGAAACUGUUAAAACUUUAUGUAGAGGUGGAGAAAAAUCACCAGAGAGGAGUACUAGAAAUCUGGAAGGCUUUAGCUGCUGUAGCAAGAGGAAUCCCCUCUCUUCACAGCUGCAAUGGCAUCUUUCAUCUAUUGUUGAGAGUAAUUCAUUAUCUUUUUCUUUGUGUGAGUCAUACCAAUUCUUAUGUGUACCUGAUGGAUAAAUACAUUAGUUAAUAUAUAUACUUAUUAUGUGUAAAGUUUGAAUAGGACAAUUUAAUAGCUUAAAAUAUGAAACUGUCAGCCUCACGAAUGAUAUUGCUAUAGUUGCUCCUAUAGCUGUCACUCCUUGUUAGAUAUUGGUAAAAGUCACCCAAAACACCGAGGUUUUAACAGGUGUUAUGAAUUUAUUCUUUAAACGAUAUCAAUACAAAAAUGUGGCAUGAAGAUUUUUUUUUUGUUUUGUACCAAAGCCUGACACAUGGUGUUAGGUAUUGGAACUUCAACCAUAAUUCAUGUAUCAAUAUCUGACACCCUAGGUGCCUAAAAACCAAACUUACACUUACAUAGAAUCAAUGAUUAUUGAUGCCUUACACACUAUCAGAAUCAAAAUAAAACAAUACUCUAUUUCAAAGUCAUCAUAAUUGUUUGAAUUUCAGUGUGGAUAGAUUCAUUUGUGAGCUUACCAUUUCGACAAGGAUUUUCUCAUUGUUUUAGAUAUCUUAUAUGGCGAUGUCGUUCUUCCCAUCAUCCAUCUUGUCAACUAUAAUCAGAGAACAAAUGACUAUGAAGCAGUGUUACCAAUAGAAUGAACUGCUAGGUAAUCAUUUGCAAGCCCAAAUAGAUACCAUUUCCAAGCUUAUUACAACAAUUUUGCAUUAUAAGUGUUAGUCUUUGGGUCAGUGUCAGCCUUUGGUGCACUUACCUUAAAUGUUAAAAAUUUGUUUUCUUCAUUACUAUUGAC